UACGUAGGUGGCAAGCGUUGUCCGGAUUUACUGGGCGUAAAGCGUGCGCAGGCGGUUUUGUAAGCCAGAUGUGAAAUCCCCGGGCUUAACCUGGGAAUGGCAUUUGGGACUGCAAGGCUUGAGUGCGGCAGAGGAGACUGGAAUUCCUGGUGUAGCAGUGAAAUGCGCAGAUAUCGGGAAGAACACCUAUGGCGAAGGCAGCUCUCUGGGACGGUACUGACGCUGAGACGCGAAAGCGUGGGGAGCGAACAGG
Molecule: ribosomal RNA, 253 nt
Filed under: uncultured bacterium
Lineage: Bacteria
Description: partial 16S ribosomal RNA
Rfam family: Bacterial small subunit ribosomal RNA
Source: RNAcentral